Molecule: ribosomal RNA, 497 nt
Filed under: uncultured bacterium
Lineage: Bacteria
Description: partial 16S ribosomal RNA
Rfam family: Bacterial small subunit ribosomal RNA
Source: RNAcentral
GAUGAACGCUGGCGGCGUGCCUAAUACAUGCAAGUCGAGCGAACGGACGAGAAGCUUGCUUCUCUGAUGUUAGCGGCGGACGGGUGAGUAACACGUGGAUAACCUACCUAUAAGACUGGGAUAACUUCGGGAAACCGGAGCUAAUACCGGAUAAUAUUUUGAACCGCAUGGUUCAAAAGUGAAAGACGGUCUUGCUGUCACUUAUAGAUGGAUCCGCGCUGCAUUAGCUAGUUGGUAAGGUAACGGCUUACCAAGGCAACGAUGCAUAGCCGACCUGAGAGGGGGAUCGGCCACCCUGGAACUGAGCCCCGGCCCAGCCUCCUGCGGGGGGAGGCAGUAGGCAUUCUUCCGCAAGGGGCGAAAGCCUGCCGGACCACCCCCGGGGGAGUGAUGAAGUUUUUCGUAUCGUAAAACUCUUUUAUUGGGGAAAACAAUAUGUGAAAGUAACUGUGCACAUCUUGACGGUCCCUAAUCAGAAACCCCCGGCUACCUACGCC